RNAcentral lists this unclassified non-coding RNA (242 nucleotides) under plant metagenome. Its description in RNAcentral is "partial contains small subunit ribosomal RNA, internal transcribed spacer 1, and 5.8S ribosomal RNA". The record is from RNAcentral.
UCUCCGUUGGUGAACCAGCGGAGGGAUCAUUACAGAGUCUUCACAACUCCCAACCCUUGCGAAUCGUACCUAUUUUGUCCUCGUUGCUUCCGACAGCGGGGACGGGGGGACCCGAAACGGCCGCCGCGCCCCACUCGCCGGGGGCAGCGGGCCCUACAAUCCAUUCUCUAUUAACCACUCGAAACGUUUAUACGAAACAAAGCAAAUAAUCAAAACUUUCAACAACGGAUCUCUUGGCUCUG